GGAGGGUUCGCAUAGUGGUCAAUUGCACGAGUUUCGAAAACUCGAUCCCGCAAGGGAUUCACAGGUUCAAAUCCUGUACCCUCCG
Molecule: transfer RNA, 85 nt
Filed under: Candidatus Levyibacteriota bacterium
Lineage: Bacteria; Candidatus Levyibacteriota
Description: tRNA-Ser
Rfam family: tRNA
About the family: Transfer RNA (tRNA) molecules are approximately 80 nucleotides in length. Their secondary structure includes four short double-helical elements and three loops (D, anti-codon, and T loops).
Source: RNAcentral